Molecule: ribosomal RNA, 564 nt
Filed under: Hanseniaspora uvarum
Lineage: Eukaryota; Fungi; Ascomycota; Saccharomycetes; Saccharomycodales; Saccharomycodaceae
Description: partial large subunit ribosomal RNA
Rfam family: Eukaryotic large subunit ribosomal RNA
Source: RNAcentral
UACCUUAGUACGGCGAGUGAAGCGGUAAAAGCUCAAAUUUGAAAUCUGGUACUUUCAGUGCCCGAGUUGUAAUUUGUAGAAUUUGUCUUUGAUUAGGUCCUUGUCUAUGUUCCUUGGAACAGGACGUCAUAGAGGGUGAGAAUCCCGUUUGGCGAGGAUACCUUUUCUCUGUAAGACUUUUUCGAAGAGUCGAGUUGUUUGGGAAUGCAGCUCAAAGUGGGUGGUAAAUUCCAUCUAAAGCUAAAUAUUGGCGAGAGACCGAUAGCGAACAAGUACAGUGAUGGAAAGAUGAAAAGAACUUUGAAAAGAGAGUGAAAAAGUACGUGAAAUUGUUGAAAGGGAAGGGCAUUUGAUCAGACAUGGUGUUUUUUGCAUGCACUCGCCUCUCGUGGGCUUGGGCCUCUCAAAAAUUUCACUGGGCCAACAUCAAUUCUGGCAGCAGGAUAAAUCAUUAAGAAUGUAGCUACUUCGGUAGUGUUAUAGCUUUUUGGAAUACUGUUAGCCGGGAUUGAGGACUGCGCUUCGGCAAGGAUGUUGGCAUAAUGGUUAAAUGCCGCCCGUCUU